RNAcentral lists this ribosomal RNA (249 nucleotides) under uncultured bacterium. RNAcentral's name for it is "partial 16S ribosomal RNA". It matches the Rfam family "Bacterial small subunit ribosomal RNA", at positions 524 to 776 of the family's 1533-position model. The record is from RNAcentral.
GACGUAGGGUCCGAGCGUUGUCCGGAGUUACUGGGCGUAAGGCGCGUAGGCGGCUUCUUGCGUCCCACGUGAAAGCCCCUGGCUCAACCAGGGAGGGUCGUGGGAAACGGGAGCUGGAGGCAGCGAGAGGCUGGUGGAAUUCCCGGAGUAGCGGUGAAAUGCGUAGAUAUCAAGAGGAACACCUGAGGUGAAGACGGGUUGCUGGGCUGACACUGACGCUGAGGCGCGAAAGCCAGGGAGGCAAACGGG